AGCUUCGGCCAUCCGGCGAGGGAUGGGCCCGCGGUGCAUUAGCUAGUUGGUGGGGUAAAGGCCUACCAAGGCGACGAUGCGUAGCUGGUCUGAGAGGAUGAUCAGCCACACUGGGACUGAGACACGGCCCAGACUCCUACGGGAGGCAGCAGCCAGGAAUCUUGGGCAAUGGGCGCAAGCCUGACCCAGCAACACCGUGUGGGCGAUGAAGGCCUUCGGGUCGUAAAGCCCUGUUGAUAGGGACGAAGGGCGAAGGGUUAAUAGCCC
This 267-nucleotide ribosomal RNA is filed under the name uncultured Rubrobacter sp. RNAcentral's name for it is "partial 16S ribosomal RNA". It matches the Rfam family "Bacterial small subunit ribosomal RNA", at positions 202 to 468 of the family's 1533-position model. Lineage: Bacteria; Bacillati; Actinomycetota; Rubrobacteria; Rubrobacterales; Rubrobacteraceae. The record is from RNAcentral.